CGCGGGGCCGGGUCGGAGGGUCGCGUGUGCGCGUGCGGAGAGAGGAGGGGGUCGCGAAGGGAAGGUCUGAGGUGGAGGCGGGCGGGGCAGAGAAGCAACAAGUGCGGAGGCCGAGGGGGCCCCACCCGGGGGAUUUCGUACAACCUAGAAUAGAAACCUCCUCUGGCGUUGGUGCGGCGCCUUGCAGUUUCCAGAGCUCUUUGCCAGUCCUUCGUUGCGUCCGCACACGGCCCUCAGGAGCUGACCGCAGGCCUUACCCUUUGCGUUUUGAGGCCACUGAGGGGAAAACACCUCGUUCCGGCCGACAUCCUACCAGAAUCAGAGACCCCUGACCCUCAGUGUCCUGUCUGGGAGAAAAACACCCGUCCGGACCUUCAUUUGAUAGUCUCAGUUCAGGGACUUUGUAGGACAGUGUUGCUCGACCUUUAUUUUUCUUUCCGUUAUCGCUUUCUUCAGCCUUUUUAGACAUUUUGUUCACUAAUCGCACCUCCCCCCCCAUGAAAUUCUGAUAUCAUUGAUAUAUACCGUAUAGUUGCUUCUGUACCGUAUGUGUAUUUGUGUUUUAUACAUAAAAAGACUAAGAUUUCGCCCCUUGGAAUGAUCUCGAGCCCGCUGAGAGGGCUCGUUCCAGGAGCGCGGCUCUUCGUUAGCGAGCGGCCUAGUGGAGCGGCGAGGACUCGGGGCGCCCCCGCAAGUGCUCUCUGGAGGUUAGGAACAAGCCCUCACGUGUGUGUGGACAGCUCGUUCUAGCGUCUGCAGGUGCUGCCGUGAGCAAUGGAAUAGAGUCACGCCCUGCCUCGUCUUUCAGUAUUUCUUACCCAACUCUAAUGGUGGUAUUUCGGAGGGAAAAAAGCUGUUGGAGAUAUACCUGCUUUUAAUGUGGCUGUAAUUGGCAUGAUAUCCCAUACCAAAAUGCCUUUUUAGCAGAAGAGAUAGAGGCAAACCAGAAAGCAAGAAGCAGUUUCUUCUCUGCAAUCUGGGAGAAAAGACUUUCCCUCAAGGACAGAUCAGGUGCUGUUUUUCAACCCUCAACUUUUGACCAAGAAUGAAACUAUUUAAAAAUUAAGAUGCCAACAGAUCACGAAGAGCCCUGUGGUGCCAGGCACAGGUCAUUUUGCCUGAAUGGGGGGAUUUGUUAUGUGAUACCUACUAUUCCCAGCCCCUUUUGUAGUUGGGGCAUGAGAUUUUUCACUGCAUUAGAAGGUUGUUCAGACCUGAAGCCUGGGAAGAUGCGUUGAAAAUUAUACAGGAGCUCGUUGUGAAGAGAUUUUUCUCCCAAGCUUCAGCAUCCGAACUAAAAGUGACCUGUUUGCAGCUUUCGUGGCAUUGGCUAUUCUUCUAGGAACUUUUAUCAUUGGAGCCAUCUACUUCCUUUGCAGGAACGGCCACCUUCAGAGAGCCAAUGUAGUCCAGUAUGAUAUCAACCUGGUAGAGACAAACAGUACCAGCGCCCACCACAAAUGUUCAAUGGGAUGGUAAAAAACUCAAUUCUUUUUUAGAAACCACACACACAUAAAACAACAAAUUGACCUCUUUCUGUCUAUAAAGACACAUUGUAAUAAAAUGAAAAGUACUUUAAAGCCUUUCCACACAGAGCUACUCUGCUUUAAUUGGGAAAAGUUUUGGAACGUAAGUAUUAAAUUGCUACUUUUUUUAAUGGAGGGAAAAAAGAUGUCAAAACAAAGGGUAAAAAUCUGGCUAUGGUAUUGGGCAUACACAAAAUUAGCUCACUGACCACUUAUCUUUUCAAAGUCAAACAAUCUCAGUCAAUAAUUGUGAGGUCACAACUAUAAGGAAACAAGAGAAAUGCCUUUUACCACAUGUGACAAGAUCUGUGUCGUGACAAUAAAGUUGAUUAUGGGGACUAGGACUUGCUUAAUGAUAUUAGCUAUUUAUAUUAUGCAAAUCACUGCAUAUUUAAUUAUGAAAAUCACCACAUUCUAUUUUAAAAAUUACUAAUAACCUAUCUUCACCAAGAAACUCCCUUUGCCACCACACCAAUAAAGAUUUAUUCAGUUUACCAGCUACCCUGUGAUAGGUUUGUUCAGGUCACCUAAUGUGCCUCUAGAAUAUAGACCUCCCUAGGCAAUCUUCCCCAUUUGUUCAUUAAGUAAACCCACAGCCUAAGUCCUAGCAUACAUUUAGGUUGUAAUUAUGUAUCAUCUCUAUUGCAAUAAUGCCCUAGUUCUGAAAGUACAACUCUUCAAAUGGAAAGAAAGCAAUGUAUCAUGAAUGUCAGAUGCCUGUAUGUGCCAGGCACUGUGGUCGCUAUUUCAUAUAUGUUAACUCAUACAAGUCAACACCUGUUGUGAGGCAGGUGCUAUUAGUCUCACUCUACAAGAGAAAACGUGAGGCUCAGAGAGGUUAAGGUCAAGAUCACACAUCUAGAAGGUGGUAAGACAAGGUAAGUCUAGCUCCCAAACCCCCAUGUUUUUCAUACUGUACUUAUGCUUCCACUGAUAUGGGUGACAGUCUCAGGGCUCACUGGCUUUAGGGGGAGUUUUUGCCCCUAUACUAAACAGCCCUAGCCAGCCACAGGUUCUUUUAGUCCUUGUGUUUGACACUUUCUUCUGUUAUCUCGCCAUCAGUUAUUCUCAUUGCUGUUAGUGUGACUCUCUGGCAGUCUUUUCCCCAUACCCACUUUUUUAUCAUUUGUACUAUCUUUAAAAAAAACUCACCAAGCUUGUUAGAACUUUGGAUAACAGAGAAAAUAGGCUGUGAGGACACUUACUUGAGACCUGACACAACUCUUCUGUGUUCUGAUGAGCAUUGGAGGGCAGAGUGCUGGCUUGUUUGCGUGUUCUGGGCUAUCUCACCUCAACUCUUCACAUCACAAACAGAAGGGGUCAUGGAGAACACUGAGGAAAUAUCAAAGUGAACCAAAUCAUUGCUUCUUUGUUACAAAGGCAGAAAAUGAAACACCAUAAGGAAAACCACCCCUGAGCUAACAUCCAUGCCCAUCCUCCUCUACUUUAUAUAAGGGAUGCCUGCCACAGCAUGGCUUGACAAGUGGUGCAUAGGUCCGCAUCCGGGAUUGGAACCAGCAAACCCCAGCCCGCCAAAGCAGAAUGUGUGAACUUAACCGCUGUGCCACCAGGCUGGCCCCAAUCUUGCCUCUUUUGCUGGCCGUGAUGACAGUCACUAGAGAACAAUAACUUUUAUACAAACUGUUAUGAAAUGAAAAUUCUCCAUACACUCUUGGUACCAAAACAUUAAAUGAAGUUUAUUGGUUUCUGCCAAUGUUUUCCACUUUAUAGUAGCAUAUAUUCUUGUAACCUGUCUCAUUGUGGUGUAAGGCAGAAAUGAAAUAUAUAAAACAAAAAUAAUAUGUCUUACAAAUAUUUGACUGUUCUUUAAAAUACUAAAAUAACUUUCUGAUAACAUUCUUUCCAUAGUAUAGAUAUUAAUUUUGUUCAUUUAACAAGGAUGUUUAAUGCUGACUAUGUUCUGUUAUUUUAGGAUUUUCACUAAGCAGACGCACACCCAGUUUCUACAGGUGAAAUCAAGUCAGUCAUCUAAAAACCUCAUAAUUUCCAAUCAAAUUAGAGUCUUCUGUUUCCAGUAAAAUGGAAUUUAUGGUGGUGCUAAUCUGAGUUAGACUGUGUCGGCAGAAAACGACAGAAGUUGAUUUUUUUUCUUAAAACUUUCUGCACAAUGAAUAGAGAAUUCUCAGAUUUGUAGUUUAUUUUACAUUCUCUGCAUGUUCAUUGUAUUAAGUUGACAAUCAAAAUCAGUGGCAAAACUUUUCCUAUCUGGCCUGUCUUGUCGUACUAGAUUGAGAAGUUGGUAUGUGUGCCAAUAUUUAACCAAAGUGGAGAGAAAUGUAUUAGUGAAGUGACCUACUGGACCCCCCUUCAUUAAUAUAGGUCACAGUAGAUUAUUAAUUAUAUCAGUGUGCACGGUGUCUAUUUCCAGGUCUUAAUCCCAAGGCCUACCUUCCCUCCUCUUCCUUAGAUUGUUACUUGGCUUAUAAAGAGUUUAGUUCUACUUGAAUAAAAGGGAAUGGAAAUAGAUUCCUUGACAGCACUUUUACAAAACAAAUUGCAGCUGUGCAAAGAUUUUGCUUUGAAAGCAUAUAAAGGAAAUCAGUAUUUUUAAAUGUCUUGAUCAAACCAUCCUAUGAAUCUGACUAUCACGCAAGAGAAGGCAGUUUAGUGUGAAGACAUGAAAGGUACAUCUUUACUUCUCUUUGUGCUCACAUCAGUUUUUUUGCGUGAUCAUUUUCCCAGUUUCACGACUGACUACAAUGGUUACCAUUUCUAGGCACUUCGUAUAUUUUUAGCUGAAACAGUAAUUAUUCCCUUAAUGCUUGCUUUUGUCUAAGACAAGCCUUUCAAAAUUGUAGUAAAUUAGUUACUUCAUUUUAAAUUUGGUUAAACUACUAUUCCCCUUCCAUGCAACAUCAAGGCCUCUGGGAGGCAGGGCAGAUGACUUUCAUUUUUAUCAGUACUACUCAUUUCUAUUGGGUUAACUUCUCCCCUUUCUAUUCUGUACCAAGGUUACAACCUUGUAGCCAAAUGAACUUAUUGUUCAUAACAAACCCCAAAGGCUCAGCUGUAAAAAAGAACCCUAUGUUAACUUCAAAUAUUGUAUGAAAUGACCCUGCAGCAGGCUCUCCUUUGAGAAGUAAUAAAACAUUUUAUGAGUAUUAAUUUGAAAAAAUAAACUCAUUCAAUCCUCAGGC
Non-coding RNA from Equus caballus (horse), 4684 nucleotides. The record is from RefSeq and is a predicted model, not a curated record. Lineage: Eukaryota; Metazoa; Chordata; Mammalia; Perissodactyla; Equidae.